RNAcentral lists this ribosomal RNA (2924 nucleotides) under Klebsiella pneumoniae 30660/NJST258_1. RNAcentral describes it as "bacterial LSU rRNA". It matches the Rfam family "Bacterial large subunit ribosomal RNA". The record is from RNAcentral. Lineage: Bacteria; Pseudomonadati; Pseudomonadota; Gammaproteobacteria; Enterobacterales; Enterobacteriaceae.
UGAAACAUCUUCGGGUUGUGAGGUUAAGCGACUAAGCGUACACGGUGGAUGCCCUGGCAGUCAGAGGCGAUGAAGGACGUGCUAAUCUGCGAAAAGCGUCGGUAAGGUGAUAUGAACCGUUAUAACCGGCGAUGUCCGAAUGGGGAAACCCAGUGCAAUUCGUUGCACUAUCGUUAACUGAAUACAUAGGUUAACGAGGCGAACCGGGGGAACUGAAACAUCUAAGUACCCCGAGGAAAAGAAAUCAACCGAGAUUCCCCCAGUAGCGGCGAGCGAACGGGGAGCAGCCCAGAGUCUGAAUCAGCUUGUGUGUUAGUGGAACGGUCUGGAAAGUCCGACGGUACAGGGUGAUAGUCCCGUACACCAAAAUGCACAGGCUGUGAACUCGAAGAGUAGGGCGGGACACGUGGUAUCCUGUCUGAAUAUGGGGGGACCAUCCUCCAAGGCUAAAUACUCCUGACUGACCGAUAGUGAACCAGUACCGUGAGGGAAAGGCGAAAAGAACCCCGGCGAGGGGAGUGAAAAAGAACCUGAAACCGUGUACGUACAAGCAGUGGGAGCACCUUCGGGUGUGACUGCGUACCUUUUGUAUAAUGGGUCAGCGACUUAUAUUCUGUAGCAAGGUUAACCGUAUAGGGGAGCCGCAGGGAAACCGAGUCUUAACUGGGCGUUAAGUUGCAGGGUAUAGACCCGAAACCCGGUGAUCUAGCCAUGGGCAGGUUGAAGGUUGGGUAACACUAACUGGAGGACCGAACCGACUAAUGUUGAAAAAUUAGCGGAUGACUUGUGGCUGGGGGUGAAAGGCCAAUCAAACCGGGAGAUAGCUGGUUCUCCCCGAAAGCUAUUUAGGUAGCGCCUCGUGAACUCAUCUUCGGGGGUAGAGCACUGUUUCGGCUAGGGGGUCAUCCCGACUUACCAACCCGAUGCAAACUACGAAUACCGAAGAAUGUUAUCACGGGAGACACACGGCGGGUGCUAACGUCCGUCGUGAAGAGGGAAACAACCCAGACCGCCAGCUAAGGUCCCAAAGUCAUGGUUAAGUGGGAAACGAUGUGGGAAGGCACAGACAGCCAGGAUGUUGGCUUAGAAGCAGCCAUCAUUUAAAGAAAGCGUAAUAGCUCACUGGUCGAGUCGGCCUGCGCGGAAGAUGUAACGGGGCUAAACCAUGCACCGAAGCUGCGGCAGCGACACUAUGUGUUGUUGGGUAGGGGAGCGUUCUGUAAGCCUGCGAAGGUGUGCUGUGAGGCAUGCUGGAGGUAUCAGAAGUGCGAAUGCUGACAUAAGUAACGAUAAAGCGGGUGAAAAGCCCGCUCGCCGGAAGACCAAGGGUUCCUGUCCAACGUUAAUCGGGGCAGGGUGAGUCGACCCCUAAGGCGAGGCCGAAAGGCGUAGUCGAUGGGAAACAGGUUAAUAUUCCUGUACUUGGUGUUACUGCGAAGGGGGGACGGAGAAGGCUAUGUUAGCCGGGCGACGGUUGUCCCGGUUUAAGCAUGUAGGCUGAUUGUCCAGGCAAAUCCGGAUAAUCAAGGCUGAGGUGUGAUGACGAGGCACUACGGUGCUGAAGUAACAAAUGCCCUGCUUCCAGGAAAAGCCUCUAAGCAUCAGGUAACAUCAAAUCGUACCCCAAACCGACACAGGUGGUCAGGUAGAGAAUACCAAGGCGCUUGAGAGAACUCGGGUGAAGGAACUAGGCAAAAUGGUGCCGUAACUUCGGGAGAAGGCACGCUGGUGUGUAGGUGAAGUCCCUGCGGAUGGAGCUGAGACCAGUCGAAGAUACCAGCUGGCUGCAACUGUUUAUUAAAAACACAGCACUGUGCAAACACGAAAGUGGACGUAUACGGUGUGACGCCUGCCCGGUGCCGGAAGGUUAAUUGAUGGGGUUAUCCGUAAGGAGAAGCUCUUGAUCGAAGCCCCGGUAAACGGCGGCCGUAACUAUAACGGUCCUAAGGUAGCGAAAUUCCUUGUCGGGUAAGUUCCGACCUGCACGAAUGGCGUAAUGAUGGCCAGGCUGUCUCCACCCGAGACUCAGUGAAAUUGAACUCGCUGUGAAGAUGCAGUGUACCCGCGGCAAGACGGAAAGACCCCGUGAACCUUUACUAUAGCUUGACACUGAACAUUGAGCCUUGAUGUGUAGGAUAGGUGGGAGGCUUUGAAGCGUGGACGCCAGUCUGCGUGGAGCCAACCUUGAAAUACCACCCUUUAAUGUUUGAUGUUCUAACGUUGGCCCCUGACCGGGGUUGCGGACAGUGUCUGGUGGGUAGUUUGACUGGGGCGGUCUCCUCCCAAAGCGUAACGGAGGAGCACGAAGGUUAGCUAAUCCUGGUCGGACAUCAGGAGGUUAGUGCAAUGGCAUAAGCUAGCUUGACUGCGAGCGUGACGGCGCGAGCAGGUGCGAAAGCAGGUCAUAGUGAUCCGGUGGUUCUGAAUGGAAGGGCCAUCGCUCAACGGAUAAAAGGUACUCCGGGGAUAACAGGCUGAUACCGCCCAAGAGUUCAUAUCGACGGCGGUGUUUGGCACCUCGAUGUCGGCUCAUCACAUCCUGGGGCUGAAGUAGGUCCCAAGGGUAUGGCUGUUCGCCAUUUAAAGUGGUACGCGAGCUGGGUUUAGAACGUCGUGAGACAGUUCGGUCCCUAUCUGCCGUGGGCGCUGGAGAAUUGAGGGGGGCUGCUCCUAGUACGAGAGGACCGGAGUGGACGCAUCACUGGUGUUCGGGUUGUCAUGCCAAUGGCACUGCCCGGUAGCUAAAUGCGGAAGAGAUAAGUGCUGAAAGCAUCUAAGCACGAAACUUGCCCCGAGAUGAGUUCUCCCUGAGACUAUAAGUCUCCUGAAGGAACGUUAAAGACCGACGACGUUGAUAGGCCGGGUGUGUAAGCGCAGCGAUGCGUUGAGCUAACCGGUACUAAUGAACCGUGAGGCUUAACCUU